Long non-coding RNA from Suricata suricatta (meerkat), 626 nucleotides. RefSeq lists it as uncharacterized. NCBI's taxonomy places the organism in Eukaryota, Metazoa, Chordata, Mammalia, Carnivora, Herpestidae. The transcript is spliced from 3 exons. The record is from RefSeq and is a predicted model, not a curated record.
UGAACAAAAGUCACCUGCCACUGAUGCUGGAGAACAAAACACCCUCUUCCAGAGCGCUGGGCAUCUUUCAGACUCUGUGGUUUAGCCAGAUGCUUUUUCCUUUCGAUGUCGAUUUUUUUCUGUUUUGUGUUUUGGGUAAGGGAAGAAAUGGCUUUGGGAUAAAAUAAAAGAGGUCUCCUUUUCAUUGUGAUUUUGAGAUGCAAUGUGGGUUUAUCUCAAUUACCAAUGGAAACAUUUAGUGUAGUGGUAUUUUGUGUACAUAAGUACUAGAGGCAUGCAUUCCCUGUGGCCCAUGCAUGAGUGCUCUUGGACACCUCGAUACAUGUUCAUUUUUUUUUAAAGCAUGUAGUUUCCAGGUCAUGAUAUAUUGAGAAACUGGAACGGAACUGACUCGGCCAAACUCUCAGAGAACAGUCUGUGACUGUACAGGAUUCCAAGCCCUGCUUGUGGCCUCCAUAGUAUAUGGUUGAUUCUGAGUCACCGCAGAUUACAGGGAAGAGUCCGUGGUGGCUUUGGUGUGUGAUGGGGGCUAAUGUGGUCAAGGACCCAGGAAGUCCCAAGUCUUGCUCUGAGAAUCGCCUGCCCUCUCUGGGCCAUGGGAAACGGGUGAAGGCAAGGAAAAGGAA